RNA transcript from Drosophila subpulchrella, 8416 nucleotides. It is a transcript of the gene named FH1/FH2 domain-containing protein 3, with no coding region annotated. The transcript is spliced from 20 exons. The record is from RefSeq and is a predicted model, not a curated record. Lineage: Eukaryota; Metazoa; Arthropoda; Insecta; Diptera; Drosophilidae.
CGUUUUCGUAAUUGUCGUCAGUGGUUCGAGUUGCUCCGUUUCGAUCUCGCGCGAUUCUCUGCCGGAUUGGAUUACCCAGCCAGGCCCAAAAUAAAUUAUACCUACGUGCGAUUUUUGAAGGGACCACAACAUAUUGUGACCGAAUUUUGAAUCUACGUUCUACGAGGACCGCUUGCCAAAAGCAACGUAAUGUCGUCCUACCGCAGUUAUACACCCUGGAAAACGAGCUUGGGAAGUUCCUAUAAGCCUGGCAGCGCAUCGUACGGCACUUCUGGAGACUCCACAUCGCGCUACACAUCACUGGCCACUCCAAGUUCCUACAGACCUUCGUUUUCUGGAGGAACGUACCGCCUUAAAAGGGAUCCACCUCCGCCAGCCACCACAACUACAUCUACCGGCUAUGUAAGUCGCUAUGCAAAGACAGAACCCAAGGAAGCAGCUCCGACUGAGAGGAGCAGUCCCGUGAAGAGGUAUACAGGUACCACUACCAGUGCCCUGGGAAAGUAUGGACGAUCUCGAGACCCCAGUCCGGUGGCCUUAGAGCACACGAACCGCAACAAAUCCCGCGAUCCGAGUCCCGUGAUCGAUAGCACCAGGAGUAAACUGGGAUCCACAUACCGUGGAGGUAACACCACCACCUCCAGUUCAUCCUCCUCGGCCACUAGAAAUGCCUACAACAGUCGCUAUGGGGCGACUUCUCGGAUAUCGGGAAAUGGAAGUGCCCUAUCCUACUUGACCACCAGUGAUUUUCAUGCCAGAACUGCCAGCAGGGCCAAGGCCAGCAGGGAAAGGGAGAAGGAAAAGGAGAAGGAAAAGGAGGAGGAAGAGAAGCCCAGAGAAGUCCCCAAUAACAAGGAUAAGUCUCCAGAGAAAGCGGAAGAGAAACAACCAGCAAACGAUGACGAAGCCAAUGAAUCUUUCAUCACCAUUUCCGUGGUGACCAGAGCCACUUCACCCACUCUGCCGGGCAGCACCACCGUUCAGAGAACCCGUCGCAUUGAUCCAGCCAAAACCAUAGAGAAGACCAUCCAAAGAUCCACAAAAAGACGUGAGACAUCAGACCAGGAGAUUCAAUCAGAUCGAUUGGAUGACUCCACACGAUAUCUUCGCUAUAGCGCAGGCAGCAGCAUUAGCUCGACUUAUAGUCCUCAUAGGGAUAGGAUCAGUAGUCUGCGGUACAGUGCCAGUCCCUUGAACAGUUCAGGAUCUGGAAAGUCCAGUUCAAUGGGUGAGGGAAAACAGAUUCAGCCAAUCCCAGAGGUUGUAUCUCCAGCGAGGACCAAUGGCUCUGUGAGUUCAGCAAAAUCAUCAGAAGCUUUAUCACCGCCAAGAUCAAAUGGAACUGUGAGUUCCGGGAAAUCAAAUGAGGCCCUAUCUCCAGCCAGAAGUAAUGGGUCUGCUAACUCAUCAUCGAAGUCCCCAGAAGCUGUAUCUCCCCCAAGAACAAAUGGAUCCUCCUCGAAGUCCACGAAGUCCAAGCUUUCUCCGCCAAAGGCAAUACGCUUAAACUCCAGGCAAUCUUCAGUGGAAAAUCUGGUCAACAAGCCACCUGCACCACCUAGCAAGGCGGACUCACCCACCAAGACCUGCAGUUCCAGUUCGGGAAGUUCAGCGGUCAAGUGGCCCAACAAGGAUUUCCGCAAGUCCUCUCUAAAUGUGGGUCCUACGGAUAGGCCUCGAAAAUCCCGAACUCCCAGCAGUGGUGGGGAGUCCGAGGAUCUGCCCAAUGGCAGUAGCCUCGAAAGAUCACCAAGUGCGGGAUCGGAGGGAAGUCUAGCCUCUGUUUCCUCGAAGAAAUCCUCCAAACUAAGCAAUGGCAAGGUGCCAGGAAGUCCAAAGCCAAAGAGUCACAAAUCCUGCAGUGAAACCACCACUGGCAACUCAUCGUCGACCACUGCCUCCGCUUCGGACAGCGAGCAGCGGGUCAAGACCGUGAAAAAGCAGGCCAAAAAGAAGACCACCAAAGAGGGCGGGACUGGCAAGGUCGUCGCCGCCGCCCACAAGCCAAAUAGCACCACUGAAUCACCCACCGUCGAGGUUGAAGUGGUGCCAGCGACACAGACAAGACUGAAGAAGCUAUCGGCGGUAUCGAAUUUUUUCGCCAGCCGUCAGCAAGACGCAAAUAACGAGCCGAUAUUCCUCGAAAGCUCCGAGAGCUCGGGCGAACCGGAGGCUCUUUCGCUGCCCGUGAUCUCAGGCAUAUCGGCCAUCUCGAAAAUCUCGAAAAUCUCGGGGAUCAGUCUGGCUACAGAUUUGCGAACGAACGAACCGCGAACGACGCCAUCGAGCGAAGCGAAACCCUCACCCCCAACGAAUUCCCAGAGUUCGAGCACACGGUGUCCACGAGAAAGCUCUACGGGAACGGGAACGGGAACCAGGUUACCCACCAGCACGGUUAGCACCACCCAGGACACGAGUCUCACCACCACCACCGCCAGCUUGACCACCUCCGAGCAGGACGAUCCCAGUUGGUGGCAAGAUACCAGCCUGCAGAUUAACACGGCCUCUGCUUUGGAUCAAAAUAAUCGAGGAGAGAUGCCUCCUUAUAGGUUACGACAUAUUGAUUCUGGGGAGGAGCAGGCCUGGUGGCUGCGUCAGGAUGAAAAUGGCGAUGAUGAUGACACAUUAGCGGAGGAGACCCUUAAUACCCUGGAUGACGAUGCCCAGGAGCCGAGCAAGUCCACCUGGUGGAGUCAGGAGGAGCAGGAGGACUCCAGCAGUCAGGUGAAGCUGAUGCCCAGGAGCAGGAUAACGCCGGAGAAGGAUGCCUGGUGGCUGCAGGAAGAAGAGGAGGCUCCGGCAUCUGCCAGGGAGAAUGGCGAUCUUAACAACAACAAUAGUGAGCCCCAUGUGGAGGUGACCCUAAGAUUACCCUCUAAUGGCAGUCAAAGGAGCUCCAAGGGUAGUGCAUCCAGGAGUGGAGCAAAUUCCAAGAGUGGUGGCUCCAAUCCCUGGUGGCUAUCCGGACCAGCCAGAAAGAUGUUCAAUGUGCAGCGCGUGGAGUCCGGCGAAAGAGCCUGGUGGCAGGAGGAAGCACCCGAGGAGCCACCUCCGCAGGAAAAAGAGAACGAACCACCGCCGGUGAAGCCACCCACUCCUCCACCGCGAAUCAUCAAGCACUGGGAGUCCGGGGAGCGCGCCUGGUGGCUGCAGGAGGAUACGGAGAGCACUCAGCCGCCAGUUCAGCAGCCCAGCAGUGAUGAUGAAGAGCAGCCAGGUGUGGUCUCCAGGGAUGAAGUGGAUCUGCGACUGGCACUACCACCCACCCUGGCAUCCCAGGAGCUGAGCACCUCCUUCAAUUUCAAUGCCUACUCCGAGCGUCCGCCGCCCCUGGGUCAGUGUGCCAGUCCCGUGCGCUGCCCCUCGCCCUAUGACAACAUUCCAAGGUCGCAAGUGCAGGAGCCACCACCCCAACAACAACCCACUCCCACUUUAAACAUCCUACAGCCACGAUUCUCACCGCAAACUCGGCGGGCCGGCGAAAAGCUCUUCAUCUCGCGGCAUCAGAACAUCGACGAGUUACUGGGAGGGGCUUGUCGUCCCCUCAGCCCGCUCUUCUACGGGAACUCCAAUCCCGCCGAGGCUGAAUUGACCCCCUUGGCCAGCAAGAACAUGUUCCUGCUCGAGGAGGUGACCCCCGACCAGGUGCGGAUCCACGACAGCACCGCCCAACUGCCGGUCAUCCAACGAAUGCAACGCGAUGUCGAGUGGUUGGAGAAUGGUAGCAGCUUUUACGAGCCACCCAAACAACAACAGCAUCAACAGCAACAACGCAGGAUCGAUGAUGCAGCCAUCCAGGUGUACAAGGAUGGCGACUACGGAGCCUACCUGGAUCUGGAGUCAUCGCUGGCCGAGCAGAGCGAGGAAAUCGAGGGACUCAACGUCAGCCGCAAGAACUCCCUGGUGGUGCGAACGCAGUUAAAUGUGCGCGUGCACGCAAUUAUUGAGAAACUGCUGUCCGCGGAGGGCAGUGACCUGCGGCGGGCCCUCUUCUCGCUGAAGCAGGUGUUCCAGGAGGAUAAGGAUCUGGUGCACGCCUUCGUGGCCCUCGGCGGGCUCAAUUGCCUGGUGCGCGUGGGCAAUUGUGCGGAUCAAAACUAUCAGAAUUACAUUCUGCGGGCCCUCGGUCAGGUCAUGCUCUAUGUGGACGGAAUGAAUGGCGUGAUGAAGCAUGAGCCGACGAUGCAGUGGCUCUACUCGCUGAUUGCCUCCAAUUACCGAUCCGUGGUGAAGACCGCCCUCAAGCUGUUGCUGGUCUUCGUGGAGUACGCCGAGUCCAACUGCUAUGUGCUGGUCAGUGCGAUUCACGCGGUGGACGCUUCCCAGGGCACUCUGCCCUGGUCGAAUAUAAUGAGACUGCUUAAGGACUAUGAUAAUGCCGAUGCCGAGCUGGUCAUCUAUGCCACUUCACUGAUCAAUAAAACCCUGGCGGGCCUCAACGAUCAGGACAGUUUCUACGAUGAGAGCGAUCUUCUAGAGCAGCAGGGCAUGGAGACUGUUAUCCAGCGAUAUAUGUCCAAGCCGGGCACCGAUUUGGAUCUGCUCGAUCAGCUGCAGCUCUACGAGGCUGUGCUAAAGUUUGAGGAUGGUGAGUCGGAUGGUCAGCGCUUACCGCAGAACUCAAUGCGCAAGACGCAGCGCUAUCGCCCGGGGACUAACACCACCGAAAGACGCAAAUCGCGUCGCCACAGCACGGAUAAUAGCCCAGCCCCCCUCACAAAGGUCCUGCCCACCACUGUCCUCCGGAUGACCCCCACCCAAGCCACCGUGGAUGAGGACAGUUCGGGAUCCACUAACUCUACGGAAUUCAGCGGUGGACUGUUCAAUGAAAAGAAACCUCGCGAUGGUGCAGGCGUGACCCCGGGACUUCGUAGAAGAAGAGAGCGGGCGGAGCGGCACAAGAGCUUCCUGAAGGAACAACAGGAGGCGGCGGCCAAUGGGAUCUUUGCCGCCUUGGAGCAGCGGGAAGGACUGGGGCAAAUUGUAACCGCCAUACCCGCCACCAUCCAAGUUGGCGACAGUCCGCCCGAGUCGCUGCAACACGAGUUGCCGCCGUGCAACAACAUCAGCGGCAUCAGCAAUCUUAGCAACCUUAGCAACAUUAGCAACAACAAUGUGAGCAACCUGAGCUGCAAUGACACGCCGAACAACAGCCUUCUGCUGAUGAGUCCUAGCAAACAAUUGCUCACCGGCAGCCACAGCAUCUCCAUCAUAAACAACAGCUUCGAUAAGGCGAGCAACAAUAACCAGAGCGAGUUCCUAACGAAGAAGAACCUAUUUCGGGAACGCAAUUCAACUGUGAUCAAUGGUAUUAUGAAGAAUAUCCAGCAAACCGAUAGUGCCUAUAAGAAGUACGAGAAUGAGGCGAAUCGGCUGAACAACUACUACAGCCAGUCGCCAAAGCAUCAGAUCCAUCAGAACCAUCAGAUCAAUCAGAUCCAUCAGCCCAUUCAGCCCACGCCGGAGGUGCUUUUGAGUCCCAAGAAAACGCUGAAUGCCUCUGGGUUUGACUUUACGCCCGCUCCCCUGAGUUCCACCCCGGUUAAAUGUGAUGUCCAGCCGGAGGCGGAGCCACUGCGUCCGGUUGGGAAACCGGAGACAGCCCCACCACCGCCUCCUCCACCGCCACCGCCGCCACCACCGCCCCCAGGGUGGUGGCACGCCCCCAUCUACAACAGCCCGCCAGCUGCAGCUCCUCCAGCUCGAACCCUAACCAGUACUAACCCAGAGCUGCUGCCGCAUCCUGUGGAUCCUUCAGAUAUGGACAGCGAGGACAAGCAGCUGCUGCUGCAGCUGAAGCGGGACCACACCGUCAAGGAUCUCACCCAGAAGCUGAGCAACCUGCCCAUGAGUCCCACCCAGGAUCCCGGGAAUCGAGCUCUCGUCGGCGACAUGUCCGGCCUCAUCUCGAAGGCCAAAGAGGGUCUGGCCAAGAGCAAGAGCAAGGGAGAGAUAUCCAGAUCUUCUAGUGUGGAUCAGGAGCUGAAGAAGUCUGAGCCCAAGAAGUCGGAGAACGAACUUCACUGGGAGGAGCUGGUGAGGAAUAUGACCAGGCCGCUGAAUCUCUGCGAUUUGGACUUUACGGAUCUGAGGGAUGAUGACGAGAAAGAUGUGUUGGCACCGCGAAGUCUGGGUGCUGGAAUACCCCCUCCUCCACCGCCCCUGGGAGGGGCCAUUGCCCCACCGCCCAUGAUGCCCCCCAGCUUGGCACCUCCGCCCAUGUAUGGAUAUGGUGGCAGUCUUACCAACAGUGUUAACUCGCUGAAUGGAUCCAUAAAUGGCGAGCUGGUCAAUGGGAAUAACACCAUUAAAAAGAACAAGAAGACGGUCAAGCUCUUCUGGAAGGAAGUGCGCGAGGACAUGAUACCGCAGGUGGUGGGCAAAACCAUUUGGGACGAGUUGCCCGAUGCCAAUGUCGACACCCAGAAGCUCGAACAUCUCUUUGAGUCCCGGGCCAAAGACUUGAUGACCAAGAAACAACAAGAGCUGAACAAGAGCAAAGAGAUCAUCGUGCUCGACCACAAGCGCUCCAAUGCCAUCAACAUUGCGAUCACCAAGCUGCCUCCUCCGAGGGCCAUCAAGACGGCCAUCCUCAAGAUGGACGCCACUGUGGUCACGCGGGAGGGCAUUGACAAGCUGCUGAAUAUGCUGCCCACCGACGAGGAGAGGGGAAAGAUCCAGGAGGCCCAGCUGUCCAAUCCGGAGUUGCCCCUGGGCAGUGCCGAGCAGUUCCUGCUGACCCUGGCCUCCAUUUCGGAGCUGGAGGCGCGCCUGAAACUCUGGGCCUUCCGUCUGGACUUUGACAACAGCGAGAAAGAGAUUGCGGAACCCCUGAUGGACCUCAAGCAAGGCAUUGAGAUCCUGCGUCAGAACCGCACCUUCCGCAGCAUCCUCUCCACGCUGCUGUCCGUGGGCAUCUUCCUGAAUGGAGCUCCCGUCAAGGGAUUCCAGAUCGAGUAUCUGGCCAAGGUGCCGGAGGUCAAGGACACGGUGCACAAGCACUCGCUGCUGCACCACCUCUGCCACAUGGUCAUGGAGUCGAGCAGCGAUACGAGUGAUCUCUACUCCGAGAUUGGACCCAUUACCCGAGCCUCCAAGGCGGAUUUCACGGACUUGGCCCACAAUCUCAAUCAGCUGGAGGCGGAGUGUAAGGCCUGUUGGGAUCGUCUGAAACUGAUUGCCAAACACGAUUGCCCACAGCCGUUGAAACAAAAACUGGUGGAUUUCCUGGCCGAUUGUGCGGAACGCAUCAUUAUCCUGCAGAUCGUCCAUCGGCGGGUGAUGAACCGCUACCGGAAGUUCCUUCUGUGGCUCGGCAUGCCGCAGCACAGUGUGGCGGAGUCGAGGCCCAAUGAGUUCAGCAGGACCCUCUCCGAAUUCGCCCUGGAGUACCGCACCACCCGGGAACGGGUGCUCCAGCAGCUGGAGAAGAAGGCCAACCACCGCGAGCGGAAUAAGACGCGCGGCAAGCUGAUCAUCGACAUGGCCAAGUUCAAGACCAAAGAUGACGUGGCCGAUGAUGAGCUGAAAAAACUGCUGGACACAUCCAGUGCCGACCAGGCCGAUGGCACUCUCACCUGGCGAAGAAGACGGGCGGAGCAGCUCCGUUCGCCGAUUGCCCGCCAGAGUGAGGAGCAGUUCACCGACGGGGAUGAUGAGAUCUUGGAAUCCCUGGUUAAAACCGCCACCAAGGCCCCCGGAACAAGGACAACGCCCAGGGAACGGAAGCGGACGCGACAUGCGGAUCGCAAAUCAUUGAAGCGCAGCCGCACGCGCGAAGGAUUCACAGUUGAAAGAGCACCAUCGCCGUAGAAACCGUUACUGUUAACCGAAUCCGUAACCGCUACCAAAAGAACAGCCAACUGUUUUUUAGGUUUUACCUUUUUUGUACGUCGCACGCUGAAAAACGGUCUGACCGAGGAGGAGAAACAGCAUGUGGCUGCCUUAAUACAAACCUAUUAGGAUUAGCAGAUUACUAUCGUAGAUACCCGCAUCACAUCCGAGAUACUCCCAUCCCCAGUGACGUCACAAGUCGGGCACUACGCGCACAGACUGAAAUUGGCGAUCUCAGGCGAGCAAGCGAACCCAGAAAACCCCCUUUAUAACGACAACGUGCGCAUCAUCAGUACUUGUUUUUUCUAAUUUUUUUUGCCACGGCAGCAAUGAGUACCAACUGCAACUGCAACGAAAAUGUCCUUAAACAAAAGCGUUUUUCAUCGUGUUUUUCUGUUAUUUAAUUUUUUGUUUUUGCUUCAGCUAAGUAUUAUUAAUUAAACGUAAUUCAAUAAACCUGUAUUAGUAGUUGGAAACGAUUUUAAGAAAUUUCGAUGUCCCUAGCCACGUCAUUAAAAUUUGUACCAAAAUACGACACGAAUUGUGCUUUCUAAAUUAAACUAAAUCUUAAAGUUAUGUCUAA